GGGUCACAAGGGCGUAGCUAAGGGGUAUAGCGUUCGCUUUGCAAAUCACCGCGGUGGAUUUCGGUCUAUCGUGUUUCGAUCUGCCUGCGAAAGGCCCUGGGUUCAAUUCCCAGCUCGUCCA
Molecule: non-coding RNA, 121 nt
Organism: Echria macrotheca
Lineage: Eukaryota; Fungi; Ascomycota; Sordariomycetes; Sordariales; Schizotheciaceae
Source: the annotation of a GenBank genome assembly